RNAcentral lists this long non-coding RNA (994 nucleotides) under Zostera marina. Its description in RNAcentral is "long non-coding RNA (ZMAR_LNC003084)". The record is from RNAcentral. Lineage: Eukaryota; Viridiplantae; Streptophyta; Magnoliopsida; Alismatales; Zosteraceae.
AAACUUCACAAUAUAUUAAUCUUCAAACCCUCUUCUCCCCCGUUUUCCCCUAAAUCCAUCUUCUCCACUUCGGGACUCUCUUCUCCGGACUCCGGGAAUCUUUUCUCCACUUCUCCCUCCGUUGCUACUUGUUGGAUUCUCUGGUAUUUAUUUGUUGAAUUGUUGAUCUUGUUUGUUGUUUCUACUAUUCUCCAUGUCUUGACUCUGGAACGUUGGACACAACCCCAGAUUUUCUCUACCUCCAAAGUCCAAAUUAAUUUUUUUUAUGUUCAUUUGGAAUUAAAAAUUAAAAUAGUUUGAUCACAAAUCUAUGAAACCCAAUAACUCUGCUUACAUUUUUUUCCCUUUAAUAUUACGACACAUUAUCAUAUCUAAUCAUCCCUUUUUUACCCAGACUAUAUAAUACCUACGAAAGCAAAUCGAUGUAUAGCAUGAUAUUGGUGAGAUGAAAAUCUUAACGAUUUAUUCUUUUUUUUGGUUCUUAGACAUUUUAUUCGAUUUAAUUUCAUCGCAAUUUCUUUGCAGAUAAUCAUUAUGGUUCUACUUGUGCCCAUAUUGUUUGGAUUUCUUCUAUCUUAUCGCUUAUAAAUCAUUUUAUUUUCUUUAGGUAGUUCUUCCUUUUUUGCCAACUUAUGAUAUUUCUGGAAAUUGAAACCUAAGAAGAUUUGCUUUAUUUAGAAUUCGAUCAUUUGGAUUCAUGAAUGUUAUAUUGAUUAUCCUUCAUCAAUAAUAUGAACCAGUUCUAGACUUUUGGUGUACUAAAUGUACACAAUAAUUACAGUGAAUAUGCUAUUAAUUAUAUGUAUCCUCGUCGUAGGACAUUGAAGUAAUGUAAAAUGUAUUUGAAAUUUUUAUUGUUAAUUAAAUGAAUGUAUUUAUUUUUAAUUUAAAUAUUAAUUAUGGAAUGAAUGUAUUGAUUUUUUAUAAGUUUUUAUAAUCAAUUAUAUGAAUAGGUCAUGCCAAAAUUUGUAUAGGUUUUUUAAUUAGUACAAAA